Molecule: ribosomal RNA, 377 nt
Filed under: uncultured bacterium
Lineage: Bacteria
Description: bacterial SSU rRNA
Rfam family: Bacterial small subunit ribosomal RNA
Source: RNAcentral
AUACGGAGGUUCCAAGCGUUGUUCGGAAUUACUGGGCGUAAAGAGGACGCAGGCGGAUAUGUUAGUCUAAAGUGGAAAUCCAGGGCUCAACCUUGGACGUGCUUUGGAUACUGCAUAUCUUGAGUAUGUGAGAGGAAAGCGGAAUUCAGGGUGUAGCGGUGAAAUGCUUAGAUAUCCUGAGGAACACCAAUGGCGAAAGCAGCUUUCUGGCACAAGACUGACGCUGAGGUCCGAAAGCGUGGGGAGCGAACGGGAUUAGAUACCCCGGUAGUCCACGCCGUAAACGUUGUGCACUAGGUGUAGGAGGUAUCGACCCCUUCUGUGCCGCAGCUAACGCAUUAAGUGCACCGCCUGGGGAGUACGCUCGCAAGAGUGAA